Molecule: RNase P RNA, 448 nt
Filed under: Deltaproteobacteria bacterium
Lineage: Bacteria; Pseudomonadati; Myxococcota; Myxococcia
Description: RNase P RNA component class A
Rfam family: Bacterial RNase P class A
About the family: Ribonuclease P (RNase P) is a ubiquitous endoribonuclease, found in archaea, bacteria and eukarya as well as chloroplasts and mitochondria.
Source: RNAcentral
AAGGAAGUCCAGGCGGCCGCCGGUCAGGGCCCAGGUCCUGACGGGAGGAAAGUCCGAGCUCCUCAGGGCACGGUGCCGGGUAACCCCCGGUCGGUGGAAGCCGAAGGAAAGUGCCACAGAGAGUAGUCCACCUGGGCGGCGCCUCGGCGCUGCCCGGCAGUUUGCGCCCGGUCGAACGCGCCGGUGGCGGGACUGUGGCGUGCGGCGACGCACGUCGGCCAGGGUGAAAGGGUGCGGUAAGAGCGCACCGGCGACCCGGGAGACCGGGUCGGCCGGGUAAACCCCACUGGGAGCAAGGCCAACUAGGGAUGUGUAUCGGGGUUGCCCGCCCCAGCAUCCGGGUAGGCCGCUUGAGCCCGUCGGUAACGGCGGGCCUAGAUGAAUGACCGCCUAUGGGGUUGUGGUAACACGCCCCGGGACAGAACUCGGCUUACGGGCUUCCCAUCUC